CAAAUUUCUGCCCUAUCAACUUUCGAUGGUAGGAUAGUGGCCUACCAUGGUCUUAACGGGUAACGGGGAAUUAGGGUUCUAUUCCGGAGAGGGAGCCUGAGAAACGGCUACCACAUCCAAGGAAGGCAGCAGGCGCGCAAAUUACCCAAUCCCAAUACGGGGAGGUAGUGACAAUAAAUAUUAAUACGGGGCUCUUUUGGGUCUCGUAAUUGAAAUGAGUACAAUCUAAAUCCCUUAACGAGGAAACAAUUUGGAGAGCAAAGUCUGGUUGCCCAGCCAGCCGCGGGUAAUUCCAGCUCCCAAAUAGCGGUAUAUUUCACAGGUUGGUUGGCCGUUUAAAAAAGGCCUUCCGGUUAA
RNAcentral lists this ribosomal RNA (357 nucleotides) under uncultured fungus. Its description in RNAcentral is "bacterial SSU rRNA". The stretch from base 1 to 309 matches the Rfam family "Eukaryotic small subunit ribosomal RNA", at positions 300 to 599 of the family's 1831-position model. The record is from RNAcentral. Lineage: Eukaryota; Fungi.